CCUUUACUUCCUCUUUCUUCAGCCCCGGAAGAUCCGCCUUAAAAACGUGGCCUUCCGGCGUCUCCUUCCAGUCAAUCCGAGUGGCAGCGAACUGAGAUGUCUCGUUGCAAAGGUCGGAACGAAUCUGAGUGGAGAGUGCAGAAUUAAACGGCCAGUCUUGAAAAGGGUCGAGAGAAAAUGGAUCCCAUAUGUUGCUUCCUCGGCCAAAAACACUUGGAAUUAGCGACAUGUUUAAGAAAAAAUAAGUGAGAUUUGGAGAACUUAGAUGUAGAUUGUAGAUUGAUCAAACUGUCAGUACGCUAAGAAGUAGAUUGCUUGCUGGGAAUCGUUGUGCAGCGGGAAAUUGGAAGUGGAAGAAUUUAUAGGAGAGCAUAUGGUCGAAUCUGCAAGUUACAUGAAAAAUAUGGAGAGCUCCAGAGCAUUCUUGGAGAAAUAUUCGUCGUCAAAAACUUUUCCACAAGAAGAUAUUCUAGAGUAGCCUAGAAAUGUAAUGUUACCAAUUCUAGGUGGCCAAGUGUCCGAACUUUUCUCUCUUUUUUCCCUUCCAUUUUUAUGUUUGAGCCCGUGAGGCCUAAAAAUCAAUUAAAAUUAAUUUUUUUAACGUUUUUUCACUUUCAAAAUUGUAAUUUUUAAAUUUUUUUCACAAAUAGAAUUCACUUUAUUUCUAAUGAUCAAAAAAUUAAUUAUCAAAAUUUCUAUCAAACAAACACUAUGUUUGGUCCGCUAAAAUAUCAAAUUAAAAUUUAAAUCAAAAUAAUUAAUUAAUUCUUGCAAAUUAAAUUUUGGAUUUUAAUUUAAAUUAAGUCAAAAAUUUAUUUUAACUACAUAUUUUAUAAAAUUCACAACUUUUAAAUCACACAUUUGAUUAACUUUCAUCAAAAUUUACGAAAAUUUUGAUUUUCAAAGGUUUUAACUCAACAGUUAAGGUAUUUCAAGUUAUUGUUUACUUUAAAGACAGAACAUCAAAUUCAUCUACUCCCUUAUUCUUUUCACUUGUAUGCCCAUUUAGGAUCAUAUGUAAAGGGGGUAAAGAGAGAAGUCAAUGGAGAACUAUCAAAACCAAUGACUUUUCUUUCUUCGUAUUCUUAAUUGUUGGUUAUACCUCCCGUCGGCAUUCAUAAGAAUAGGCUCUUAUUAUCGGCUAUUUUUGGAGUGCCAUUUGCGCUCUCCUAGGGUGCAAUCGUGGGGAGUGUAUUGUUACAAUCCAAAUAGACCUUAUGCUAUUUUUUUUCUAAUUAAUGUAAGGUAUUGUUAUAAUAUUGUCAAAAAGAUAUUGGCUUUUUUUUUUUUUAAAGAAUAGAUAUCAUAAAAAAUGACUUUUUUUAACAAUAUGUGAUUAAAAAUUAUGAAUAAAUUAUAUAUCUUACGUGCAAAAUAAUUUCAAAAUUAUUACUUCAAAGAGAUUUAUGCUGUUUCCAUGCCUCCGUGUCUUUACCGCAAGCAAAGAAAUUGAUGGAAAAACAUUCAUGUACUAGUUUUAAAGGAUUUUAUAAACCUAUUAUCAGAGGAUUUACCGGGUGCUUCGCGUGACAAGUGGGUAAAAUUUACAAGUGAUUUAGUACCAGGAACGGGGCCAAUUAUCAAGACUCCCUACUAAAUAACACCAAAGAAAUUGUAGAAGUUGAAAAUACAAUUACAAAGAUGAAAGAUAGAUCGAUGAUUUUGCGUAUAAAUGAUUGAAGUUGAAUUGUUUAAGAACAAAUGACAUAUUUCGAGAAUAGAAGAUUUUUUUCAACAAAUUGAAGGGAGCUAAGAUAUUUUAUAAGAAUGGCUCAAGGUCACGAUAUCAUGAACCGAAUGUUAACUCAUGUGACAUUCUAAAGAUGGAAUUUUGGAAUUGCUAUAUGGGCACUAUAAAUUUCUAGUCAAUUCAUAUUUAUAUCUUUUAGUGUUAUUAAUGUUUCAACAAUUUCAUGGAUCUAAUAAUAGAGUUGUUCAUCAAUAUCUGGAUCAAAUUAUUAUAGUAUUCACUGGCGACGUUAUGUUGUACUAUAAGGAUUAGUAGCAAGAAAAGCAACUCAAAAUGGUGUAGGACGCAUUGCACAUAGAGAAGUUAUAUCCCAAAUUCAAAAAUGUGAAUUUUUUGUUGAUCGAAUAGGUUUCCUCAACCAUGUUAUGGCUUACCAUAGAAUCAAAGUUGAUUCAACUAAUUUGGAGGCUGUAAACAAGUGGCCUAGACCAUUGAACGUUAAUGAAAUUUGCCUCAUUUUAGGACUAGCGGGCUAUUAUUAAAGAUUCAUAGAUGUUUUCUCCAAGAAAGCUAGAUCGAUGACUCAUUGAUAAGAAAGGCAUUAAGUUCUAGUAAUAAAAAUGUGAAUAUAGCUUCCAAGAUUAGUCUAGUUAUAGCAACAAUCUUGACAGUACUGACUGGGGUUUAUACUUUUUAAAAUGGUGUACAACGACCUAAUUUUCAUCUUUAUCUACUAGAAUUUUUGAAUUUACCAAACUUGUCACCUGAUGCUACCAAAAAUCGUACCUGUUAAUUUCCCGAUAGUCUUUCGGUACCUAAAACAAAAGUAACUAGGUAUGUUCUCGUCGCCCCUCCAAUGCUUAAGUCAGAAAAGGAAUUAUGUGCGUGAGGCUAUAAAUUGAGAAUAAUGAGAACGUACCUGAAUAAUAUCCAAGAUUGUUAUUUAUAGAGGUAGGUAGUGUACUCCUAGUAGGAUUGUGCAAAUUGGACGGUUUAUCUAGUGGACUCCUGUUUGGGAAGAACGUCUUAUUCGUAAUAGAAUUUUAUGACCGGUGGUGUUAGAGUUGAUAAAGAGUCCUUGGGGGUUUAGGUGUCUGUUUGUCGGCCAUAUACAUAUAUCUCGAGGACCUCUCAAUGAAUACUGACCUGAUGACAUAUUCUCGAGAAAGUAAGAAGUGAGUUUCCAUGGUCGUGUGAGCAAGUCAUCGAGGAUUGCAUCCUCAAGGAUUAAAAUAGUCAUCGAGGACUACCAUAUCUCGAGGACCUCUUGGCAGAAAAGUGGGGUGGAACACGUAGGCAGUCCUCAAGGAAUAGUUCUCGGGGUUUGCAAUAUUGGUACUAUCACUGGCCCCCGUGCACCCCUCAUAGAGUGCGAACUCUGGGAUUGGGUGCACAUGCUUACAAAUACCUCGCCAUAGGUCGGUCGUUGGGAAAUAUGGGCUGACGAUAAAGGUCGGUAUUGAUAUGACCAUUGCAGAGAGUUGGCUUGGAUGAGUGACAUGUGUCUCCAUGGACAGUCAGAGAUGGCGACCUUUGGCCUCCUGUCUUUUUCACCUAUAAAUACUGUUGUUCACCCCCUCGUUUUUCACUUUUACCCACUAUAAAUCCAAACUCUGUGAGAUCGAACUCGAGCUAAAUACUUUGGAACUUCUCAAGUCGUCGGGUAACUCCAGGUAAGGCUUGAGACUCUUAAGUUAGGACUUAAGUUCUUUGAGUAAUGUCAAGUAGUGAGGGUUGUGAUCUAUCUAGUAGCUCGAGUAGUAGCGAGGAUGUAGGUACUUCGAUAAUACCAACGGCUAUUUCCCUAGAGGCUACACCCGAUGCUCAGGUUAAUAUGAUCUUUGAUUAUCCCGACGAGCCCUGUAAGUUAAAAGAACAUUUAGCUAUUGCUGCGGCUAGGGAAUAUGGCCUUAUGCCUAUUUGUGACGUUAGAUCCCCUAGCCCCGAGGAUAGAAUUGUUCGAUCUUGACGAGGGGAGUUUGUCAUUUUUAGGGAGACCCUUAAGGCCGGCUUUAGGUGGCCUCUUCAUCACUUUUUUAUUACUUUAUUGGUCGAGCAGUCCAUGUGCCUGGGGCAAUUAGUGCCCAAUGCCUGGAGAAUGCUUGUGUAUUUCUUUAUAGCUUGUAGGUACUUAGAUAUCGAGCCAAUGUUUACCUUUGACUGGUGUUUGAGCUUAAGAAACAUCCUCAGUAUACCUGUUUUGAUUAUCUCUCGAUGAUAGGAGGGUUUAAGGUCCCAAGGAUGGCGAGUUCUCUAAGAGGGUGGAGGGAGGGGUGGUUUUAUGUUAUUGCUCAAGAACCCAACCCUCCUUUCUGGCCUGAUUGGGGGAUUCCCGAAGUGAAGAAGUUCUGUGGCGGCCAACUGUAUCCAGAUGUGUUAGAAGAUCAUAGGAGGAUGCUGGUGGGGCGCAACCCCCUUUUCUCGACGAUGUAGGAGAUUGGGGAAGAGGUUAUAGAUCUAGCAGAUACUAGAGGCGUCGAGGGUAGGGUUGUUCUUUUGUUUUUCCAAAACAGUUUGAUCUAAUGCUCGUUCUAAAGUGUGUGUUUUCUGUUCUUGCAGGUAUGUCGUUUGAUCCUCGAGUCCUCCACAAUUUUGUUAACACAAGGGCUGAUGCCCUUCCACAGGGCCAGCUUCCGGCAAAGAAAAAGAGUAAGAAGAGGCCUCGAUGCUUACUCGAGCAAAGCAUGAGAGUGCCUACCGAAACUUCUCGAGCAAAGCCUCAACCCUCGAGUCCCGUGCAUUUGAGUCAAAGAUCUCCUACUCCUUGAGUCGUUACUUCUUGACCUCCUUUCGAGGUAGUUGAUCUCAAGGAUGACACUGUUCCUUUGGUGAAUUCCCUUAUCUAGACUUCGAACGGUGCCACCUUGUUCCCGGUCUUGUUUCCAAAUGCAAGGACGAGGUAAAGCUCGAGGACGGGAUGAAGGUUCUCGAGCUCCUCACUAUGAAGGUAAUCCUCGAAUAUUUGAUUUAAGCUUUCAGUUUCUUCCUCGAGAUUAAUACUCCUUCAUUUCUCUUUUAGACGUUGAGUAUAGCUCGAGGACUAUCUCUUCAGGGAAUUGAGGAGGCCAAGAGAGCGGCUGGGGUGGAGACCUCAAUGGCUUCUAAGGACAGGAGGAUCCUUGAGCUCGAGGCUUUGUUUAAAGAGUGUGAUAACCUAAAGAGGGAGGCUACGAAGGCUCGAGACGACCUUGGUGUUGCAAAGGACGAGGAUGAGGCCGAGGAUGCGAGGUUCAAACUUCUGCAAAAGAUAAAAGAGUUCAAGGGCAAGCUCGCGGAAGUUAAGGAGAAGGUCUGAUGUGAUACGGGUUUCGCCAAAAUGAACCAAAGCAUUGGGGUUUGAUUGGAAGAAACCUAAACCAAGUUCGAGUCUUCGGGAAGCUAAUACGGAUGGCACAAUUGAUGGAUCGAGGCAUGGAGCAUACUAUGUUGAAGUCCAUGAGCUAAGUGACAACUUUUGUGUUGGGGUCGAAGUCCGAAAGCCUAUGAAACAACAUGAUUCAAGCAGCCGAAGAAGAGACCAAACUAUAACUCCAUGUGACCGCACCGUGUCGUAGGCAUGCGGUUGCACAGGUGGCUAGCGAAACUCGAGAGGCGGCAACAUCUUCAACCAUGCGACCGCACCAAGUUCUACAGUGCGAAGACGUAAAUUUUCAAUUUUUACGAAAUUUUAAUUUGAUUUAAUUUCUUAUUUUUGGCAAGUUUCAUUAUUUUAGGACUCUAGAAUUUCGUGGUUUCCUAGUUUCCUCGAGUAGCAUAAAUUAUUUUCUAUCUUUCAUUAUUGAACAGACUUUGAUUUGAGAAUUAAUUCAGAAAUGCGAUUUUUUCUUCGAGACUUUGAACUUAUCAAGGGAUCCAGUUGGGAUUUCUUGUGGCAUUCGCAACCUUGGGUGAGGUUAUUAAAUUAUGUAAUUAGGAGGUCUUGGAUUUAAUAUAUCGUUGGCUGCCUAAUUCAUUGUUUAGGAAUUAAAUCCGUAAAUUUAGAAUCAAAUUGGCGUUCUUGGGAUUGGUGUUACUCUCAUGUGGGUUCGAUAGUGUUCGUUGCUAUCCAGGUUUGCAUCAGGUGGCAUCAGAGCUUAGGCUUCAAGUUCGAAGUUAUAUCUUUCAAUUUGUGUUGAGUCAGUUUCGUUGUUUUCAUUUCGUUCUUGUGUACUUCGUUAGAGUCUUAUUUUAGAUCCGUCAAAAUACAAAAAAUAAAAAAUAAAAAAAUUCAAAGUUGUUUUUCGGGUUCAUCUAGAGUCCAAAUUCAAUUCCGUCUGUUAUGUUAGUGUCCUAAUCGUUUUCCCUUUGUAAGAGUCCACAAAAAAAAAAAAAAAAAAACUGUUCACGUCCGUACCAUCGUCACUGUUUAGCUGUCAGAAAAAUUUUUUUUAGUCCCUCCAAAAAAUUUAUUUAUUGUCUUAGUCCUUUAACUUCCUGAUUAUUGAGUCUUGAACAAUUAAUUAUUAUUUCACGAGUUUAAAGCCACCUAUUGUUCUUGAGAACACUAAACGGAGGCAAUUGAGAGGUAAAAAGCUGAGUGGUGAGAUUAUUUGAGGAAAAAAAACUAAAUUGAUUGAUUUCCGAGCGAUAUAAAAGUAAGGCAUAUAAAAUUUAGUAUUUAGGAUGUCUUGCAGCGAAGGGUCAAACUGAAGUCGGGUUGGUGCUUGAACAAAUAUGCCAGAGGAUGUGAUGUGUAGGUUUGAGCGAAUGUUGAAGGAUAUGGGUGAUAGGAUAGAAAAGAUUGACACAUCGGUUACCAAUUUGCGUAUGGAACAAACGGGUUGAGGUGCCUAAUACUAGGAAACCGGGACGGCGGGAACCGAGGGUGGAAUUUCAUGAUGAAUUUGGUUAUGGUGGUGAUGUGGAUGACAUUGGGUUCAAUGGAGUUGAAUUGGGUGGAAUGAGGAAUAAAGGAGAUAGGUUUGAACGUCGAGGUCGAAAUAAUUAUGGAGAUGACGUGGAUGGAGGUAUGGGCAACAUCAAAAUUUCCAUUCCGCCAUUUAAGGGUAGGAGUGACUUGAAGGCGUAUCUAGAAUGGGAGUAAAAGUUGGAGCUUAUCUUUGUGUGUUAUAAUUAUUCGGAGGAGAGAAAAAUGAAGCUUGCAGUUUUGGAGUUCACUGAUUACGCCAUCACUUGGUGGGAUCAGGCGAUCACUUCAAGGCGAAAGAAUGGGGAAAGACCAAUCCGAACAUGGGAUGAGUUGAAGGCAGUUAUGAGGAAGAGGUUUGUACUAGCCAUUACCAUUGGGAGCUUUAUCAACGGUUGCAGGGGUUGUACCAAGGGUCAAGAAGUGUGGAGAAUUACCACAAAGAAAUGGAAAUUUUAAUUAUUCGGGCUAAUGUAGAGGAGGACCGGGAAGCCACCAUGACACGUUUCUUGAAUGGGAUGAACCGGGACAUUGCUAAUGUGGUUGAGUUGCAACACUAUGUAGAACUUGAAGACAUGUUGCAUGUGGCGAUGAAAGUGGAGCGGCAAUUGAAGAGGAAAGGUCCGGCUAGGACUCCAUCGGGUCAUAAUUCAUCUUGGAAGCCUAGAGGGGAAGAAGAAAGGGUUGAUGAGGCUAUGGCAAACAAUAAAACCGGCACACCAAAGGCGAAUAAAGAGGUUGUUGGAAAUACUACAAACAAGAUGGGUUCACAAAAUACUAGGAGUCCGGACAUUACGUGCUUCAAAUGUUUAGGGAAGGGGUACAUUGCAUCUCAAUGUCCAAAUAAAAGAGCAAUGAUUUUGAGUGCCCACGGGGAAGUGGUUAGUGAUAGCGAUGGAGAUGGGAUGCCCGAGCUAGAGGAUGUUAGUGGUGGUGAAGUGGUGGAGUAUCUGGUAGAUGGUGAAGCACUUGUGGUUAUGCGCUCACUCAACACUCAAAUCAAGGUGGAAGGAGAUGAGCAACAACGGGAAAACAUCUUCCAUACUCGAUGCCAUGUUACAAACAAGGUAUGUGUGUUAAUAAUUGAUGGGUGAUGUUGUACAAACGUUGCUAGUACUAGGUUGGUUGAAAAAUUAUGUUUAACUACAAUUAAACACCCUAGGCCAUACAAAUUACAAUGGUUAGAUGACCGUGGAGAGGCUAAGGUGAAUAAACAAGUAGUUGUUAAUUUUUCUAUUGGGAGUUAUAAGGACGAGAUGUUGUGUGAUGUGGUGCCUAUGGAUGCGGGUCAUAUUUUGUUAGAUAGGCCAUGACAAUAUGAUCGAAGGGUAAGGCAUGAUGGGUUUAAAAAUUGGUAUAGCUUUGAAAUGGGUGGAAAAUCUAUUUUGCUUGUACCAAUGACGCCGCAACAAGUGUAUGAUGAUCAAGUGAGGUUGAGAGGUGAGAAUGUGAGAAAAAAUACAGAUAAACAAAAUGAGAGCUCGAGAGAAACUGAAGAGGUGGCUAGGAGUGAUAUAAAUUGAGUGGGGCCACAAGAAAGAAAAGAACGAGCACUUAAGCGGAGAGAAAAUUAUGAAGCGAGUUUCUUCGUGAAAAAAUGUGAGUCUGAGCGGGAGUUGGAGAAGUCUAACACAUUCCUCCUUAUUUUGUAUAACUCUUUGAUGCAGGACUAUGAGACGUUGAUGCAUUCGGAUUUUCGUAAAGGGAUAACACCUUUUGAAUAUCCAAUCGAUGCAUCGCAUUUGGAGAGCAUCAUGAACUUCGACGAUGAGACUAUCUUUCAUGGCAUUACGGGGUUCAAAAAUAUCAAUCAAGGAGUGGACAAGGGGCCAAGUAUUUGAACCAGGUGCAGAUUUGAGGUCGAAUCCUCUCAAAUAGGGAGGGGAUCAUGUGAUACGGGUUUCACCAAAAUGAACCAAAGCAUUGGAGUUUGAUUGGUAGAAACCUAAACCAAGUUCGAUCUUCGGGAAGCUAAUACGAGUGGCACAAUUGAUGGAUCGAGGCACGGAGCAUACUAUGUUGAAGUCCAUGAGCUAGUGACAACUUUCGUGUUGGGGUCGAAGUCCGGAAGCCUAUGAAACAACGUGAUUCAAGCAGCCGAAGAAAGGAUCAAUCCAUAACUCCAUGUGACCGCACCGUGUCGCAGGCAUGCGGUCGCACAGGUGGCUAUCAAAACUCGAGAGGCGGCAACAUCUUCAACCAUGCGACCGCACCAAGUUCUACCAUGCGGUCGCAUGGGCAAAACCGAAGACGCGAAUUUCCAAUUUUUGCGAGAAUUUUAAUUUGAUUCAAUUUCUUAUUUUUGAUAAGUUUCAUUAUUUUAGGACUCUAGAAUUUCGUGGUUUCCUUGUUUCGUAGGGUAGUAUAAAUUAUUUUCUAUCUUUCAUUAUUGAACAGACUUUGAUUUGAGAAUUAAUUCAGAGAGGCAAUUUUCUUCCAAACCUUUGUUUUUCGGGACUUUGAACUUAUCAAGGGAUCCGGUUGGGAUUUCUUGUGGCGUUCGGAACCUUGGGUGAGGUUCUUAAAUUGUGUAAUUAGGAGGUCUUCGAUUUAAUAUAUCGUUGGUUCCCUAAUUUAUCGUUUAGGAAUUAAAUCCGUAAACUUCGAAUCAAAUUGGCGUUCUUGGGAUUGGUGUUACUCUCGUGUAGGUUCGAUAGUGUUCGUUGCUAUCUGGGUUCGCAUCAAGGUCUGGUAGGAGUUCAAAACCUCCGAGGACCGUGACAAGACUAAGGAUGAGUACGCGUUGGGGGCGUACUUCCACGCUCUCAAGGAGGCCCGGGCCUUCCUCCAUGCGAAUUUACUCGACGUCACCCCAGAUGACCUAAAGACGGUGCCUUCUAUCGCCGAUACUCUAGAGCUCUUGGGGUCGGAGGAUGGAGGAGCAGGUGGGGACGAUGAUGAGGAAGGCCUUGAUGACGACGUGCAGAAUGACAUCCACAACCUCGACCCUCUCCUUGGUCAUAUAGGAUAGUGUCCCCACCUCAAUCUCUUAUUUGUAAUUUUGGACAAGUUUUUUGCUCGAUGAUUAUAAAACAUUUUUGCUAGUGAAUGAACAUCUCCUUCAUGUAUAAUUUUGACGUACUCGAGGCCACACACAUCUCGAGCACACUAAAUUUAUAAAAGAUGUAAUUUUGCAUGUGAUGUCCUCAGGUUAUUAUUCUCGAGCAUCUAGUUUUUAGGCAUUGCCUUUCCUAUAAUCUCGAGCAUAAAAAAUCUUUAACUCUUAGAGACAUCCUCGAGCAUAUUAAAUUUAAAAGGAUAUUAUCUCGCAAGUGAUGUCCUCGAUAUAACAUCAUCGAGCAAUAUUUUUAGUGUAAGAGUAGCCUAGUAUAAUGAUUGAUGACUCUUGUUCGUAUUCGUCUCGAGGACUAUUCAGGUUUGGGAACUAUAUUGGUGUUCCCUUUGUUGAGGCCUUGGAGGACGUAUACCAAACACCACAAGGAAUGGGACACCUGCAGUCACCAUUAACCUGAGGAAUGGUAUCACUCAUCGAGGACAUUCGUCAUUGUAUGUCUCGAGCACGCUACUCGUGUAUUUCGUUUUGAAGAUUUAGGGGGAGCAAUGCGACUGACCACAUCCCAGGGGCAUGCAAGGUGGCGCUGCAUGUGAUAUCUUGACGACAUGGAGCAAGAUCAUGUCACGAGGACUCCAGUGCUUGAGGACAUAAAGUCAAACCGUAUCUCGAGGACAUGGGUUUAGGUGAUAUCUUGAGGACACUUAGUUGGACCACAUCUCAAGGACUUUCAGUGAAAAACUCUCGAGGACACAGAUUCAAAUCAUAUCUCAAGGACACUGAGGAUGUUAAUUCUCGAGCCUUGUCAAUCGAAGCCGUUUGUAGAUCUAGGUGUUGAUGUGUUCGGGCAUAUCGCGUUGCUCGGGAUUUUCUCUUGGUGUUAUUUUAUGAAUCAAAGCUUCUUAUGGACAGGGCAUGGCUUUGUACGCUUGCACAGGGCAAGGCUUUUUGUGCUUGCGUGGGGCAAGACUUUUAGUACUUGUAUGGGGCACGGCUUUGUGUGCUUGCACGGGACAAGGCUUUUAGGUGCUUGAGCAGGACAAGGCUUUUUGUUGCUUACUCGGGGGCAACGCUUUUUGUGGCUUACUCGGGGGCAAGGCUAUGUGUGCUUGCACGGGGCAAGGUUUUUAGUGCUUGCGCGGGGCAAGACUUUUAGAUGCUUGCGCAGGAUAAGGAUUUUUAUUGCUUGCUCGAGGCAAGACUUUUUGUUGCUUGCUCGGGGACAAGGCUUUGUAUGCUUGCACGAGGCAAGGCUUUUAGUGCUUGCGCGGGGCAAGGCUUUUUUUUGUAAUGUGAUAUAUCAUCGAAUUUAACUUUAGCUGUAAUAUACUUUAUAAAUGAACUUAGCACGUAGGCUUGAAAAAAAUAGUCUUGGCACGUAGGCUAGACAAAUGAUAAAAAAUUGAUUUGGCACGCAAACCUUAUUAAUGAUAAAAAUUGACUUGGCACGUAGGCGUUAUUAAUGAUAAAGAAUUGAUUUGGCACGUAGGCCUUAUUUCUGAAACAUGGUGGAGUGAGUUACUUGUAAUAUACCUUUAAGUUUUUGGCAUUCCAUGGUCUUGGGAGUGGUCUUCCCGAAGUAUCCUUCAAACUGUAUGCACCUCCUAGGAGUUGUCGUAUGACAUCAAAGGGCUCUUUUCAAACUGGAUCGAGUUUUUUCGGAGCAUGACCAGCGGCUUUGGCCCUUCUUAACACCAAAUCUCCAGCUCUGAAUCUUCAUGGCCUUACCUUUCUAUUGAAAUAUUUUGCUGCUCUGUCUUGGUAAGAGGCCAUUCUUAAGGCUGCCUGAUCGCGAACUUCUUCCAAGAGGUCGAGAUGUUCGGUGGUGCGCCCUGCUUCUUCGAGUUCAAGUCUUCUUUUACUGGGUAACCUUAUUUCAAUGGGAAUGGUAGCUUCGAUUCCGAAAGCUAACAUGAAGGGGGUCUCCCCAGUGGCAGUCAUGUGGGAUGUUCUGUAAGUCCAAAGUAUGGAGGGCAACUCGUCGGACCAGGCACCUCUUGCAUCUCCAAUCCUGGAUCAGAGGUCUUGCAAUAUAAUCGGAUUGGUGACUUCGGCUAGACCAUUACUUUGGGGAUGAGAACUGAUCUCAAAUCUCUAUAGAGGAGUUUUAACUGCUUUGAGCUGUUUAGGAGAGAUCCCCAUUUUAGUGAGAGCCUCCUGCGAAAGUAUAUUUGCUGCACUCCCAUUAUCAACUAGAAUCCUCUUUACUUCGAAAUUAGCCACAAUUGCAAAGACGACCAAGUCAUCGUCAUGAGGAUAUGAUACUCCUUCCAAAUCUCUUGCUCCAAAGGUAAUAUCUUUGAGUUUAUCAUGGGAUUUCUUUGAGGUAUGAGCAGUUGGCGGGCAUAUUACUUUCGCCUACUACUGUGUCUCCUCAGAUAUUAUGCCUCCAAUGAUGAUAAUAAUGGUCCCGACAGUGGGUUGAGCAUUUCUUCCGGCUCCAGGAUCUUUCCGAUUGUCACGGUCAUUCCUCGGGCGUUUAUUAUAACCAAUAUAAUUCCUUAACAGCCCUCUUUUAAUAAGGGCUUCAAUUUCCCGCUGCAAGGCUUGACAAUCCUCCGUGGUAUGCCCAUGAUAUCAAUGAAAUUCACAAUACUUGCUCCUAUCUCUUGUGUUCGGGGACAACUUCAUUCUCUAAGGUCACCUCAACUCUUUCAUAUCUUUGAUCUCCAUUAAGAUAUUUACCUUCGAGGUGUUCAACCGGGUGAGAGGCUCUGGUGGCCCUUCAUUCUUGCCCUUUUCCCGAGGAUGCUCUUGUCCAAAAAUGAGAUCAUGUUGCUUCCUGCUCUCGUUCUUUUCAUGGGAAGGACCAGAUCUCCUUGGAUUCAGCAUUUCCUCCAUAUUAAUGUAUUUUUCAGCUCGGGGUGAGGAGCUCGAUCACUGUUUGUGGUCGGGUCUUUGAUAAGGACAUCUUGAAGACUUCACACCUUAUGGCGUAUAUGAGGGCAGAGACAGCCGCCGUAAGAAGAAUAUUUCAAUUUGUUGAGCUGGGAAUAUGACAAUAUCUCUGGCGUGAAUGGGGUCUUAGGGGUAAAACCCGUUGGCCCCCGAGUAUUCCGUUGCAGGCCAGCUGUAAUUCCUUCUUGAACGAUUCGGGCAAUCUCUCCAAAAUUCAUAGCAACCGACCUCGAGCCCUAGGCCAUAUUAUAAAUACCCGAGGUUCCUACUCCGCUAAUUGCGGGGUUUGGUGGUCAGUCUUAAGCACCAGCCAUAAAAGCACCAUGCUCUGCCUACGUAGCUCUUCGAAGGCUUCAGUUGUGACGAUUGCUUGUUAGGGUGCGGGCACUUCUGACGACUCUUCUUGAGGAGCCAGUUGAUCUUCAGUAGGAUGAGGGACGGAAGCGGAUGAGCUUGCGGGAGGAAGACUUGAUCGCGUGUUAACCAUGACUUUUGGCAGCGUUUUCCACAGAAGGUGCCAAUGAUGCUACCAAAAAUCGUACAUGUUGAUUUCCCGAACUUGAGGAGUUUGAAUGAGCACAAUCGUAGUUUUUCAGUACCUGAAACAAAUACAACAAGAUAUGUUCUCGUCACCCCUCCGAUACUUAAGUCAGAAAGGAAAUUAUGUGCAUGAGGUAUAAACUUAGAAUAAUGUGAAUGUACCUGAAUAAUGUCCAAGAUUGGUGUUUAUAGAGGUAGGUAGUGUACUCCUAGUAGGAUUGUGCCUGUUGGACGUAUUUAUCCAAUAGAGUCCUGUUUGAGAAGAAUGUCUUAUUCGUAAUAGAAUUUUAUGAUAGGUGGUGUUAGAGUUGAUAAAGAGUCCUCGGGGGUUUAGGUGUCUGUUCGUCAACCAUAUACAUAUAUAUCGAGGACCUCUCAAUGAAUACUUACCCGAGGACAUAUUCUCAAGAAAGUAAGAGGUGAGUUUCCAUAGUCAUGUGAGUAAGUCCUCGAGGAUGCAAUCCUCGAGGAUUAAAAUAGUCAUCGAGGACUAACAUAUCUCGAGGACCUCUUGGCAGAAAAGUGGGGCGGAACACGUAGGCGGUCCUCGAGGAAUAGUCCUCAGGGUUUGGAAUAUUGGUACUAUCACCACCUAAUGAACAUGGCUAACUAAUUGCUUUGAAGUAAAGCAUAUUUUGUCCAAUUGAAUUAAGGAUAAUUAGCACAAAAUAUUCACAUUGUUUGCACUCCUUGUACAAAUCAUCCCUAUCGUUUCAAACCUGACAAUUGCACCUUCAUUUCAAUAUUUUCUUGCGGAGUUGGACCUUUCCAUCUCUUUUUGUCAAUUCCUUCAAUCAAAUAUGAAUAAUUGGUGCAAAACUUUGCAUUCACUGCACAAAAAAUCCAUACCAUUUAUUUUCUCCAUUAAAACAUUGUAAAAUCACCAAUUCACCCUCCUCUUUAAAUAAAUAAAAAGAAAAGAGAUAAAUAACAUAAAAAAUAAAUUACUGUCGAUAGAGUUCCAACUUUUAAAAAAAUUAUAAACAAAUCUCACGUAAAAUAAUUUAAAAAAUACUCACAAAAUAAAAAAAUACUUCAUCUUCCUAUUAAACCCCACCUAUCCUCCACCAUCACCAAAAUAAGUAAAAACUGUGUGAGAAGUGUAAAAAGUAGUAAGAAAAGAAUUUAACUAUUUUUCCGUAAUUAUGUUUCGUUUACAAAUAUCGUUUUGUUUUCAGCAUAGUUACAAUAAUUUAUUUUUAUUUUUAUUUAUUUUAAAAAAUGUAGCUAUUUUUAGCAAUUUAUUGUUUCUAUCUUAUUGUUGCUAAUUACACACUUCAUUAACUUUUAAAUUUUGCUCUAAUUUUGUUCCAAUUACCUUUGCCUCAGAAUGAUUUCUCUAAAAAAAUCCAAAACUCUAGAUAGGAUAUACUCCUUAAAAAUAAAAAUUAUCUCGAGAGUACUACAAAAAUAUAUACAAAUAAAACAAGUUUUAGAAGCUGUUUGGCCCCCAUUACGGGGAAAAUUUAAUGUAUAGAAUAGUGUUUUUUGAAAAAUGAGUGGUUGAAAAAGAAAGAAAAAUUUUCGAUUUACGUGUAAUAUUAUUUUAUGGAAGAUUGUGUGGUUAAAAAUAGGAGAGAGAAAAAUAGAAUGUAAUGUAAUGAAAAUCAAACAAGGGCUUAUUCAACAAACAUAGAUAAUUACACUUCAAAAGUCAACCAUUUCACCCAAAAACACAGUUGUGAAAUAACAUGCACCAAUUCAUAUGCACGCAUACAAAUACGUGAGCCUUCAAAUCAAUUUCUUGAUGUUUAUCGUCUUUAACCAGAAAUCUCAAUGGCUUUGACAUCAGGCUUCUUCACCUCCUCUUUGGGCACAGUUACAGUUAGCACACCAUUCUCCAUGCUGGCCUUAACCUGAUCCAUUUUCGCAUUCUCCGGCAGCCUGAACCGCCGGAGGAAUUUGCCAGAACUCCUCUCCAUACGGUGCCAGGUAUCAUUCUUCUCCUCUUUCUCCCUGCUCCUCUCGCCACUAAUCUGCAGUAUGUUACCUUCCUCAACCUCAACCUUUACUUCCUCUUUCUUCAGCCCCGGAAGGUCGGCCCUAAAUACGUGGCCUUCCGGCGUCUCCUUCCAGUCAAUCCUAGUGGCAGCAAACUGAGAUGUCUCGUUGGAAAGGUCGGAACGAAUCUGAGUGGACAGGGCAGAACUGAACGGCCAGUCUUGAAAGGGGUCGAGAGAAAAUGGAUCCCAGAUAUUGUUUCGUCGGCCAAAAACACUUGGAAUUAGCGACAUUUUUCCGAAAAAUUAAAUGGAAGAUUUACAUAAUUUAGUUGUAGAUUGUAGUGUGAUCAAACUGUGAGAAAACUAAAUAUUGUUCGAUGGAACUCGUCGUGAUGUAGAAAAUUGGAAGUGGAAGAAUUUAUAGGAGAGCAUACGGUUGAAUGUGCAAGUUACAUGAAAAAUAUGGAGAGUUCGCGAGCAUUCGGGGAGAAAUAUCCAUCUUCAAAAACUUUUCCACAAUAAGAUAUUCUAGAGCAGCCUAGAAAUGUUUGUUUAAUAUUACCAAUUUUAGGUGGACACGUGUCUUAACUCCACCCCCACCCGCCUUCUCAUUUUUUAGGUUUUAGCCUUUGUUUGGUACGCUAAAACAUCAAAUUUAAAUUUAAAUCAAAAUAAAUAAUUAAUUCUAGCAAAUUUGUCAGUGGAGAUUUUAAUUUAAAUUUAAAUUCACAAUUAAUUUUAACCACACAUUUUAUGUGAUCCAUAAUUUUUAAACCAUACAUUUCAUCAACUUUUAUCAAAAUUUAUUAAAAAUUUAAUUUUUUUAAUCCUCACCAGUUGCGUUAGCGUGGCGACCUGCUGACGUAAGGUCUCUUUGGAUUACAAUAUCUUUUUGACAAUAUUACAACAAUAGCUUACAUUAAUUAGAACAAACGAGUGUAAGGUCUCUUUGGAUUGUAACAAUAGACACGCAAGUGCACGUGCUUAUUAAUGUUUCAAGUAACUUUAUGUGCUCGUAUAUUUACAUACGUCCUAAUCCAUCAUACACAUAAUAGAACAUCCAUUCUCAAGCUUUUACGUAAGUCUCGAAGUUAUGAAAAAUGACUUUUUUAAGCAUGUGUGAUUAAAAAGCGGGAAAAAAAUAUAUCCCAUGUGCAAAAGAAUUUCAAAACUAUUACUUCAAAGAGAUUUUUGUUGUUUCCAUGCCUAGUAUCUUUACUACAAGCAAAGAAAUUGAUGGAAAAACAUUCAUGUACUAGUUUAAAGGAUUUUGUAAACCCAUUAUCAGAGGAUUUACCUGGUGCUUCGCGUGACAGUCGAGUAAAUUUUACAAUUGAUUUAGUACCAGGAACGAGGCCAGUAUACAACACUACCUGCCAAAUAACACCAAAGAAAUUGUAGGAGUUCAAAAUACAAUUACAAAAAUGAAAUAUGGAUCGAUAAUUUUGCGUAUAAAUGAUUGGGAGUUGAAUAGUUUAACCAUUAAGAAAAAAUAACAUAUUUCAAGAAUAGAAGAUUUUUUCGACAAGUUGAAGGGAGCUAAGAUAUCUUAUAAGAAUGGCUCAAGGUCACGAUAUCUUGAACUGAAUGUUAACUCAUGUGACAUUCUAAAGAUGGAAUUCUGAAAUUGCUAUACGGGCACUAUAAAUUUCUGGUCAAUUUAUAUUUAUAUCUUUUAGUGUAAUUAAUGUUUCGGCAUUUUCUUGGAUCUAAUACUAGAGUUGUUCAUCAAUAUCUAGAUCAAAUUAUUAUAGUAUUCACUAGCGACAUUAUGUUGUAAUCUAUAGGAUAAUUGGUAGCAAGAGAAGCAACUCGAAAUGGUGUAGUACACAUUGCACAUAGAGAAGUUAUAUCCCAAAUUCAAGAAAUGUGAAUUUUUUCUUGAUCGAAUAGGUUUCCUCAAUCAUGUUAUGACUUACUAUAGAAUCAAAGUUGAAUCGACUAAUUUGGAAGUUGUGAACAAUUCUAGACCACUGAACGUUAACGAAGUUUGUGGCAUUUUAGGAUUGCCGGACUAUUAUCAAAUAUUAAUAGAUGUUUUCACUAAGAUGGCUAGAUCGAUGACUCAUUUGAUAAGAAAGGCAUUAAGUUCUAGUAUAUAAAUGUGAAUAUAGCUCCCCAAGAGUUAAAAACAGUGUUUAGUUAUAGCAACAAACUUUUUUUUUUUAUUAUUUUUUUUAUUUUUAAUGACGGGAUAACCCACAACCGCUAUCUUUCGGGGUGCGAACUGGGUAAAACCUCGGGCUGACACAAUAGCCUGCAAACCAUGCCAGCCAAAUAAAUCGUACUAGGCAAGCCCGGUACGACAUGUUCAACUGAAAAAGUGUUGGUAGAGAAAAUCGAACUCGUGAUUAAAGGCCUUCGAGUUCACCUACUUCACCAACUCAGUCACCCCAUGAGGGUCUAGUUAUAGCACCAAUCUUGACAAUACUGGCUGAGGGUUUAUAGUUUUUUGAAAUGUUGUAUAAUGACCCAAUUUUCAUCUUUAUCUACUACAAUUUUUUAAUUUAUCAAAUUUGCCACCUAUAGAACAUGGCUAACUAAUUACUUUGAAUUAAAGAAUAUUUUCUCCAAUCGAAUUAAGGGUAAUUAGCAAAAAAUGUCCACAUGAUUUGCACUCAUUGUGCAAAUCAUCCCUAUCAUUUCAAAUUUGACAAUUGCACCCUUAUUUCAACAUUUUCUUGCGGAGUUUAACUUUUCUGUCUUUUUUUGUUAAUUCCUUCUUUCAAAUAUAGAUAAUUAGUGCAAAAUGUUCCAAUCGCUCGUCUUAAUUGUGCAAAACAUCCCUAUCACUAGCAUUCAUUGCACAAAAAGUCCUUACAAUUUAUUUUCUCCAUUAACAUAUUGUGAAAUCACUAAUUUACUCUCAUCUUUAAAUACAUAAAUGGAAAAGAGAUAAAUAACAUUAAAAAUAAAUAAUUGUAGAUAGAGUUCCAAUUUUUUAAAAAAUUAUAAAUGGGCCUCACAUAAAAUAACUUUAAAAAAUACUCACAAAAGAAAAAUAUUUCAUCUUUCUAUUUAACCCCACCUACCCCUACGUCCAUCCUCCACCCACCGCUAUCACCAAAAUAAUUAAAAAGCGUAUUACAAGUAUAAAAAACAAUAAGAAAAGAAUUUAACUAUUUUUCUAUAAUUAUGUUUCGUAUUCCAAUAUCUUUUUGUUUACAACAUAGUUACAGAAUUUUUAUUUUUUUUUAUUUUUUCAUUUUUAAGAAUUUAACUAUUUUCAGUAAUUUAUUGUUUCUAUCUUCUUGCUAAUUGCACACACUACAUUAAUUUCUAAAUUUUGCCCUGAUUUUGUUCAAAUUACUUUUGCCUUGCAAAUGAUUUCUGAAGAAAGUUCAUUCAAGAUCUUAAUCCAAACCUCAAUUCUAAUUGUUCUAAUUCAAACUCAGCUAAAAGAAAAAUAUUUUUUUAAUAUAAUUAAUAUUAUUUUAAUUGGAAUUCGUUUUCACUUUUUGAAAAUCUUAGGACUUUGACUUCAUUUAUUUCUUUUCUAUUUUUUUUUUAUUCGAAGAAGAGGUAAAUUAAUUAUUUUACGAUACUUUAACGGUGAAAAUAAACGAUAGAGGCUUUUUACACAUUAAUGAAGGCAAACGAUAAGAGCAUUUUGCGUAAUCAAAGCAAGUGAUAUGAGAUUUUUGUACCAAUUACCCAUAUUUGAUGGAAUGAGACAAAAAGGACCAAUAUGUGAGAGAAUAUUAAAAUAAAAGUGUAAAUAUCAAAUUUAAAAUGAUGGAGAUGUUUGCUUACAGUCUAACGAUUUUUUUACACUAUUAAUUUCAAUUAUUCACCCCACUUAAGUAAGUCCAAAUGAUACUAGAAGGAUGCUAAAUUUAAUUAAGAAAUUAAAAUUAAAGUAUUCAGCCUAAACGAGAAGCCUGGAAUAGAAACUGCAAUGUCUCCCAGGAAAAAAAAAAAAAGGAUAAAAGAUUUUUGUACAUAAUUUUUUAUACAUAAAAAUAUCAAUUCUCUCACGUGCCGUGAGGUCCACUUGAAUAUUUUAUUCGAGCGGCCCCACCUAUGGGAGAGGAUGAACACCCCUAUGUACCAAAAAUUAUGUACCUCUAGCAUUUAUCGCAAAAAAAUCGUAAAUAUACGACCUUGAAAGGAAAAAGGAAAAAAAAAUCCCGAUCCGAAUCGUCCCGCCACGGCUAGUCAACUACAAAGGCAUUUUUAGCUCAGCUUAGGCCCUGUUUGACACCUUUUAGUUUAAUUUUUGCUACAGGAUCAUUUUCAACUACACAUUCACACAAUAAAAUAUUGUACACGUAAAUCCAUAACCUUUUUCAUCAUUUUCAAUCACACAUUCUCCAAAAUAAUACAUUUUAAACUAUGUUUUUAGAGUUUUAGGGCCACCGAACAAGGACUAGAUGGAAUGUGAAGAAUACAUUCUUUUGGAGACUUAAGCUGUCAUUGAAAUCGAAUAAUGCUGAGUGUAUACUCUUUUUAAUAGCUCAUUCACAAUCGUGAAGUCUGCAAUUAUUUUAAUCGUGGACCCUGUUAUGCCCCUAACCGAACCACUUCAGAACAUCAGGCACACCACUCCCUGAAGUGCCACGUCUCCAUCCGAAGUGGUUUGGAAGUGAUCCGACGACCCUCAACUUCAUGCGCUGCGGGGCGCAGGAUAGAUCCACUGAAUCAACCGAAGUCUUCCCUAAUGCCGAAGCGUUAGGCACUUCGAGGUGCUCAUUUAACAGAUCCCUCCGUCACCACUUUCAGAAAGAUAUCUAUGUCAAGAUCCUCUCUACCUCCAAGGAUUAAUUGAUGUGACGUCUCCAUAGAUCUAGUUGAUGUGACGUAUCAACUUUAUGUCAACUUGACUCAAAAGAAUUAAUUGUCCGCCCACUCUAGAUGCGGCUGAUUAACGCCUAUGAGCAAACGUCUCACACUGUCAGAUGCAUAUACGUGGUCAACAUCCAACGGUGCUCCACGUCUAUAAAUACCCAAGGCUUGGCAAGGGGGAAAGGUAAUGAAACUUUCACAACUUAGCUCUCCAUACUAAGAAAUAAUUAUAUUCUCCUCCCCACUCUCCUGUACAAUUUGAGCAUUGUUCCAAUCACAUAAAACUGACUUGACCGUCGGAGUGUAUGCGACCGUCAUCACCCCCGUUGGUUUCGGCCGUAUGUUUCUAACCGUGCGUUGUCGUGCCCAGGGAGGAUUACGUGGAGUGGCUAUUCGUUGGCCACGUUGAUGGUCUAAUUCGUGAGGCCAACAGAUUGACGCCAUCUGUGGGAAAUUUCCAAUCCAAAAGUUCCAUAUUUUCCGUCAGAAAAGCCAUCGGGAAACCGUUAACUUAUCUUGAAAAGGGUAUGUUCUUGAAAAAGAACAAAGUCAACCUAGAAUCUAAGUUCUUAACACCCUUGAAAAAGUAGUGGAGAAGAUGAGUUCUAGUAAUGAGGAUGCAAAUCUUGGGUUUAGAGAUGCCUCUGAAGAAGAGGUGCUUCGUAACAAUGUCACUCACCAGAGACCCCAUCACCGGCAUCACCGAGGUGAAAGAACAGCCAUGCUAACUAAAGGAAUGGCUAAAAUAGCUGCAGGCAUGAGAUAUAUUGCAGCUCAGAAUGUGGUGAUGCGUAAAUUUUUCAUGUAGGCUCAAAGUCAUCAGGGCUUCUAGAUGCCCCAAGGAUCUUACCCAGCUCAAGAAAUUCCGUCAUCUCAUGGCCCAGGCCAUUCGAGCCAACGUAGGGAACACCCCCUCGAAAGAGAAAUGGGUGUAGAUGUCACAUCCUAUGCACAGGGGAGCCAACCAGCAGAACCACAACUAGGAGAGAACUUUCCACCAGAAUAUGAACUAGAAAGGUCGAUCAGUAUCUUCGACCGAAUAGGGCUGAACCCUAGUGAUAGGGCUUGUUCCGUGCAAAAAUCAGUUUGGCAAGAACAAGAAAAACAAGCACCUCCUCCAGCUAGAAAUAGGCGGGAGAGAAAUAACUUAGUCAAUUGGGGUAGUUGAGGGGGAGCACCUCCACCUCCCCAGAACGUGCAAAAUGAUGAAGGCUCCAAGGGGCCAUGUCGAUCUUAUGAAAUUGAUGAUGAUGAUGACAACAUCCCUUUCAAAAAGGAGAUCCGGAGCUUCCCAAUGCCUCAAAAUUUCAUGCCCCUUAAAAUCCCAAAGUAUGAGGAAAAUAGGGACCCGGAAAAGCACCUCGCCAAAUACAUGACACAGAUGAGCCUCAAAUGAGCGUCACCCUCAUUGAAAUGCAGGGCCUUCCAUCUAACCCUCGUCGGAGCCGCCAAAGUGUGGUACAGCAGACUGCCUCCCCUGAGCAUUAGGAGUUGGCCAAAUUUGAAGAAGACAUUUUUGAACCAGCACCUCUCACGAAAAGAGGGAGAGGCCCCAGUGCAACGCCUGCAAGAUAUGAGGCAGGCCCCUGGAGAGAUGCUGAAAAGCUACCUCGUCAGGUUUACUAAAGAAAUCACAUACUGCAAGCAAGUCACUAAUAGAGAGGCCCUUUCAGCCUUAAAGGUGCCCUUAACAUAAACACUUUGUUCUGGAGAGAUGUACACUACAAGAAUCCUACCUAUGACGAAUUGAUAGAAAUGAUGAGAGUGGAGAUUUUCAAUGAAGAGAUGAUUGACCACCAAAAUCGUGCAGCGUAGGGACUCCCUCCGCCUUAGAGGCAGGUAGGUCGAGGACCAGCAAUGCAUUUCAUCACGCAGCAAUGGACCCAAGCAGGACACACAAUAGCUCCCACAUCCGGACAAGCAUUGGCUUCUGCCACGCUAAAUGUAAUGCUGGUAUUGGCAUAUGAGAAUGUCCCUAUCGAGGCAGGACCAUUUGAAGGCACAAACAACAAUCGAAAGAAGAAGAAGGAGCGAUCAAACAGACUCCUAAAAGGGGCAAGGUUUUGUACCUUUCACCAACUUCACGGACACGACACCAGCGAAUGUAGGGAUGCUCAUCAAUCCUCAAAUUGGAGUAAUCCACGCUCCUCAAGAAGGGGUGAAUAUCCACGCUGGUCCAUAUCCCCGAAUAGGAAAGAAAGGCUGUAUAGAGACCAAUCACCCCGAAGGAAAGAAUCCAGAGACAGAGGAGAAUCUAGGCAUAGGGAUCAGGCCCCAUCUAGAGACUAAGUCAUCAGGGAACUUGAUACAAUCAUUAGAGGGCCUCACAUCGGAGGCAACACUAUGAACGCCCAGAGGAACUACACAAGGGAAGCAAAUGAUCUACCAAUGAUUACUUAAAUUGUCAAUCAGACCCAAGACACUAACAGGAUGGCCCCAAUCACUUUCUCUCAAGAAGAUGCACAAGGAGUUCAUCACCCCCAUUGUGAUGUAUUAGUGGUAAGAGCCAUAGUAGCUCGAAACAGACUCAAGCGCAUGCUCGUUGAUAAUAGCAACUCGGUGAAUAUGCUGUUCAGAUCCACCUUUGACAAAAUGUAGAUAGAACAUGGGUUGCUCUCCAUGACCGACCCUCUAUUUGGGUUGACCUGUCUUGAAAGAUCUUUGGGCAGUCACCUCCAUCCAUUACUUGUGUAUGAAGCUACCAACUAAGCAUGGGAUUGCUACAGUUCGAGGUGACCAGAUGGGCUCAAGAGCAUGUUACCUCAACUCUCUGUGAAAAUUCGAGCCUCGCAUUGUUAAUGUCAUUAUAACAAAGGUUGCCAAUGAAGCUGACGUGGACGUGGAAAUGCUCGACGCUCCUGAACAAGGGCAUACCUCCGAAUAGGAAGAAGAUGUCGACAUGGCUGAGGCCCCUGAAGAAGGGCACCCUUUUAAUGAGUUGGAUCCUCGAAUUAUCGAGUCUGAACCAAAUGUGACCCCAAUGAAGAACUGGAAACUUUUUCCACCAACGCUGAGGACCCUACUCAGGUCUUGCGGAUUGGAAAAGCACUAUCCCCGAAGUGAAGGAAGAAAUGAUGAACUUCCUGAAAAGAAACCUGGAUGUCUUCGCUUGGAAACACAAAGACAUGGUAGGAAUAGACCCUAAGGAUCAGUUGUCAUCAUCUUAACACCAACUCCUCUUGUGUCCCCACAUCGACAGAAAAGAUGAGCCCUCAACUUCGAGCGAUAUGAGGCGCUCAAAGAAAAAGCUAACAAACUCAGUCGCAACGGCUUCAUUAAAGAAGCCAUCUAUCCGAAGUGGAUAUCCAACCCGAUUCUCGUGAAGAAACCUAGUGGAAAAUGGAGGGUGUGUGUAGACUUCACAAAUUUGACCAAGGCAUGCCCUAAUGACAGCUUCCCUCUCUCAAGGAUAGACCAACUGGUGGACUCGACUAUUGGACAUGAGCUCUUGAGUUUCAUGGAUGCAUACUCAGGGUACAACCAGAUACCCAUGUUUUGACCUGAUGAGGAAUCCACAUCGUUCAUCACAGACAGAGGAUUGUAUUGCUAUAGGAUGAUGCCUUUCGGAUUGAAAAAUGCCAGAGCUACAUAUCAGAAGCUGGUCAACAUGACGUUUGCCGAGCUCAUUAGCAAAACCAUGGAAGUCUACGUAGACGACAUGCUAAUUAAAAGUCUCCAGGCAAAAGAACACUCAAGUCACCUCGAUCAGACUUUUCAGAUUCUUAGAAAGUAUACAAUGAAAUUGAACCCUCUCAAAUGCACCUUCGGGGUAGCUUCGAGUCAAUUUCUGGGAUAUAUUGUAAACCAAAGAGGAAUUGAGGUGAAUCCGAUAAAAAUAAAGGCCUUACUAGAAAUGACGUCACCUCAGAAGUCAAAGAAGGUCCAAAGCCUCAAUGGUCGAAUAGCCGCGCUCAGUCGCUUCAUCUCCAGGGCCACUGACAAGAGCCUACCCUUCUUUAAAGUCUUGAAGUAAAGAAAGAAGUUUCAAUGGACAGAUAAGUGUGAAAAAGCCUUCCAAGCACUGAAAAAGCACUUAGGGAAGGCACCCCAACUAUCUAAACCUGAACCACGAGAACCACUGCUGUUGUACUUAGUGGUAUCAGACGAGGCUGUCAGCGCAGUCAUUGUCAGAGAGGAAAAUACGCAUCAAUUGUCAGUAUACUAUAUUAGCAAGGCCCUACUCCAAGUAGAGACACGCUACCCAGAUAUGGAGAAGCAUGCACUCUCCCUUGUUACAACAUCAAGGAAGUUGAGGCUGUACUUUCGGGCUCAUUCAAUCGAAAUUCUCACAAACUUCCCAUUAAAACAAGCGUUGUAGAGAACAGAAGCUUCGAGUCGUCUGCUAAAAUGGACAAUCGAGCUCAUGGAGUUCGACCUAUUGUUCCGACCUCGAAAUUCCAUCAAGGACGAGGCCUUCGCAGAUUUUGUGGCUGAGUUUGCCAAAGCCCCAGAAAUGGAGGUGACAAUGAAACCAGCCGAUCCCUCAACAUGGAAUCUAUUUGUGGACGGAUCGUCAAGAGAGACUGGCUCUGGAGCAGGAGUCGUUUUGGAAAGCCCAGAGGGUCAUAAGCUAAACUGUGCAGUCAGGUUCGGCUUCAAAGCCUCGAACAACAAGGCGAAAUAUGAGGCUCCUCUAGCAGGCCGUAGAUUAGCGAAAGAAAUGCAAGUUAAAAGGCUCAUAACAAGCAGCGACUCGCAGCUUAUGGUGAGUCAGGUCAAUGAAAAGUUCGCAGCCAAAGACUGUGGCAUGGCAGCGUAUCUGAAAUUGGUUCUGAACCUAGUCCCUCACUUUGAGAGAUUUGAAUUGAUUCAAGUCCCACGCCUCGAAAAUGGACACGCUGAUGCCCUGUCCAAGUUGGCCAAUAGCAGGGAUUCAGAGCUGCUAAAGAUUGUCCCAAUUGAGUGCCUACUGAAGCUCUCCGUAUUUGGAAGCGAAGAGGUACUAUGGAUUGAAGGCACCUCACUUUGGGUGCAACCCAUCGUAGCCUAUCUCAAAGAUCAAUAACUGCUAGCAUCGAAAAGCGAGGCGAAGAAAUUGAGAAUGAGGGCUGCUCACUUCAUUUUCCAGGAUAAUGUGCUCUACAAAAGGGGCUUCGCAUCGCCACUUCUCUGAUGGGUGGGAGAGGAAGAAGCCAUGUAUAUACUUAGGGAAAUCCAUGAGGGAGUCUGAGGUAAGCACUCCAGAAGAAUGGCUCUGGCACACAAAGUACUUCGACAAGGCUACUUCUGGCCAACCCUGAAAAAGGACUCUUGCCAGUUUGUUCAAAAAUGUGACAAGUGUCAGCGCUUCUCAAACAUUCAAAUGCAACCUUCUCAAAGCCUCUUCGUGGUCACCAGCCCAUAGCCAUUUGCCAAGUAGGGCAUCGACUUCAUUGGCCCUCUCCCCAAAGGAAGAGAAAGCACAACUUUUGCCAUUGACUACUUCACCAAGUGGUUUGAGGCUGAUCCUCUAGCCAAGAUCAUCGAGGCGAAUGCUACAAAAUUCAUCUGGAAAAACAUCAUUUGCAAGUUCGUCAUUCCCCACUUUUUAGUGUCUGACAACGAAAGAUAAUUUGACAACAAGAAGAUGUGAGACUUAUGUGACGAGCUGAGGAUAAGGAAAGAUUUCUCAACGCCUCAUCACCCCAAGCGAAUGGGCAAGUUGAGGUAGUGAACAAAACUAUCAAACAUACCCUUAAAAGGAAGCUUGAUGCCUCGAAAGGGGCAUGGGUCGAUGAGCUUUCCCUUGUCCUCUGGGCCAUCUGAACAACUAGCCGAACUACAACAGGGAAAACACUCUUCUCCUUGACCUUCGGAGCCGAAGCCAUGAGUCCGGUCGAGGUAGGAGUCCUCUCUCAUCAUCGGAUACACUUCAAUGAGAUCGACAAUGACUAAACUCGAUUGUACAAACUCCACCUCCUUGAAGAAAGGAGGGAUUCUUCCCGAAUAAAAUUGGCUAAGUAUCAAAGAAAGAUGACCCACUAUUAAAACUCCAAGGUCAGAAAUCGAACUCUUCGCUUGAGGGACCUCGUCCUCAGAAGGGUCUUCCAAUCGUCGAAGCCAAUUGAGUCCGGAGUGUUUAGACCGAACUGGGAAGAUCCUUAUCACAUCCACAAGGAGUCCCGACCCGGUACUUAUGAAAUCAAAGACAUGGCAAGGAAGGUGCUGCCUCAUCAGUGGAACAUUGAACACUUGAUGAAGUACUAUCAGUGAUAAGUGUAGGUUUUGAUCCGAUCUCCAUGUCAGUAAUAAGUGUAUGUUCUGAUUCGAUUUCCAUUUUGUCCACAGCCCAUUGUAACAUUCCUAUCUUACUAAGUGUUGAAACUGGCUUAGGGAAAGAUAAUGUUGUAAAUUUUAAGUUAUAAUACCUCAGUUCUCCAUUAUGUUAUAUGGGUUAAUCAAUUGGUGCCUCAAUUCUUCAAUAUUUUAUAUGGGUUAAUUUUUCUGUCAUCGAUUGGUUAUUAUUGGUAAGUGAUGCUUAAUAUUUACUUAAGUAUCAUUUACUCAUCAAGAUACAAACAAUUCAACAUACAAGUAAAGGGAUGAAGCAACAACACUUGAAAAAAUUUUAAUUUCAUUAACAUCAAAGUAAAAUACAAAAUGUGGGCCGAAGCCAUUACAAAACAUUCUUAUUCUACUCUAGGGACAUCUUCAGCUCUGGCCUCCGGCUAAACCUCUUGGGGGGCUUUAGUAGCUUCCUUGACGGCUGUGUCAGGUCGACCUUCAGUAGGCCCACCAAACUCCAUUUUCAGGAAAAUUAGAUCCAGAGUUGGGUGGACCUCCCUUAGGCGAUCCAACAUUGCCUGGAAAUUCUAUGAGGCCCAGAAGUUGGCAAAGUCGUCGUACAGUGGAUGUUUUUCGAAGUGAUCGAUGAAGUUUUGCACUGCUGACUCCCCCGACGCCUUCACCUCGACCUUCAGAGAUUCGAUCUCUUCAUUCUAAGCCUCUACACAUUGCCUCAGCUCGGCCUUCUCUUUGCUGGAGGCCUCCAGAGCCUCAGUGGCGAGUCGAUGGUGCUCAUUGGCACGAUCGAUUUUCCUUGUCAUAGUAGCCAUCUGACACUCCACUUCAUAGAGCUCCUUCUUCAGCCUCUCUAUUUCCCCAUUGGCUUUGACCAGCCCAAAUUCAGCCUUUUGCUGCGCCUUUUUCACCUCCGAGGCCUUUGCUUGGGCUGCCCGCACUGCAUCGCCUCCUCCAGGCGCUUGGCCAAGUCCUCCAUCUUGGCAUUGAGGUCCUUUACCAAACCCUCGAGCUGGACACUUGUGCUAAGAGCCCGGGCAAUGCACGAACUGUUAGCUGCAACAAAGUCCUCUACAGGUAGAACACGGUGUAGUCCCUCCACUCCUUGAUUCCAUAUUUGUCGUGGACCACCGCUAUUGCAGUUGUCUUUGAAGGCAGGGCCUUCAGCACCUCCUUUACUAACUCCUCAGUGUUGACGCCCAAAAAAUUGGCCUCCUUUGCAGGGCGAGCCCUCUUUCUCCUUUGCUACCUCGGCACUUAAGAAAUUGGCACUGUAGGAAGUGGAGCUUUAGUCGGAGCAGCAGCAGCAACAACUGGGGAAGCCUCGGAAGGGGGAACAGUCUUCUCCUGGAUGACUACCCUAAUAGGUAUCGUGGUAUGCUUCAGAACCGGAGGCCUCGCCACGGUUGGCCCCUUCGAGGAGCCAGCAACUCUUUUCCACUUUUUCAGCAAGUUUACCUUAGGGUCUUAUGCUUCCUCCUCCUUCGCUGAUGGCUGAAGCGUCUUGCUUGCAGUCACCAGCUCCUCGGCCUGCUUCUUAUGGCAGAGGAGGAGGUCUUCAAGGCCCUUGCCCCAACCAUCAUCUUUUGGAUGGUCUUAAAAUCAGGCCUCAAGGGCCUCUUCUUGUUGAAAUCAUUUGCAGAGAAACAAGAAAAUUGGUACAAGUAUACAAAGUUUGGAAACCUACUACAAUAAAGCCACUUCUGAUAUUUACCUUGAGAGGCCAUUAGAUCGUGCGUAACGAAGUGUUUGUUAUUCUUAAUUAGCUUGUGAUAAGAUCUUCUCUUCAAUGGGAGCUGAUAAACAAUGCAAAUUAUAUCAAAUUCCUCAGUGGAUAUCUCACACUGAGGAAUAGUGCUUGCAAACAACAAACAAAGGUCAAGAACCGAACAGAAACUCAAAACAAAUUUAAACACAAGGCGUCAUCACUCACUAAGUGAUGAAUACUUAGUUGGGACUAUGAGAGGCGCCAGGGGGUCCCCUCCAUUGUGUCCCACCUUUCUGACGCCCAGCACCAUGAUAUCUUCCAAUCCUUUAUUGAGCUCGACAGGUUUAGAACGAAGGGAGUAUGAGCCCCCCAGGAGGUUGGGUAAUACCAUCCCUUAGUCUUGUCCUCCCCAACUGCCACUUUGGGAUGUAUAGGGUCUGGAAGACUGAAAAUGGCAUCUCUACCCCAAGAGACGCCUCCUUCCACAACAUCUAGGAGCCCACCAUCUGGCUCUAGGAGUUCGGGUUUAAUUGGGUCGGAGCUAGCCCAUAUGACCUAAGGACAUACCUGAAGAAAGGAUGGAUAGGCAGCCUAAGUCCAGCCCUAAAAGUACCUCGCUCACAGCCACAUACCCCGGCGUAGGGUAACAGGCUCGUUCAUUAAGCUCCGGCAAUAUAAGAUCUAUGCUAUCAGGGAUCCUAUAUUCUGCCCUAAAUCUAUCUAGGUUGGCCUCUCUCAACUUUGAUGGAUAGUCAGAAGCCCCCCAAUGUUCUGAUGUGUUUACCGACUAUCAGGCCUACGCCAAAUGUUUUUCCCCUAAUAUAGCCUUGGAUACCUCACUGGACGUAGUCAAAAUAGGCUUAUCCACCAGAACUAUACCCAGUUCCCUCCCCGAAGCAUCACUACCCUCAGAAGCCAUCUUCAAAAUUGAAAAAACUUGAAAAACUAGCAAGAUACUUACUGAAACGAACGGAUUCGGGUUUUCUACUAUCGAAAUAAAAGAAAGGGCCCUCUAAAACUCGUCGAAAAGCAGAAAUGUCGUCGAAAAAUGCUUGAAGAUCGCCAAAAAUUGCAGAGAAUUUUGAGAGCAGAGAGAGUUUGAUUUCGUAAAAGUGAAAGCCUCUCAGAACGCUCAAGCCCCCCCCUUUUAUAGAACACUCUAGAUGAUCUCCACCGUUAAAUUCAAAUACUAUCAAUCUAGGCUGUCCAUCGCAUUACAAAUCUAGGCCGUUAAAAUGAAACGUCAGAUCUGAUCUAUAUCUAAGAUCUAGUUGUGGCCCUCACGCACACAUAAAACGUGUCGCCUUGAUCCCCAUCAGUCGUCUACAAUAAGUAACCACAACAGUCUUUUUUGGGAAUGGGCAUCGUAUUCAACUGUCGCCUUGAAAAUACGCGACAGCUGUCAAAUCAUCUAACGUCAGAAAUGGUCGCCUCAAAUGAGCUCUUCACCCAGCUUUACAAAGCUUCGAAGCACCUGAUGCGAAGUCCCUUGUAGGUCAUCACUUCGAUCGCUACGUUCCUUCCUAAACUUUUCAAAACUUUAACCAUCUCCCAACAUGUCGUCCCAUGUGGAUCAGCGCACCGGUGGCAGAUGAACUCUUCACCAAACUUUACAAAGUUUCGACGUACCUGACGUGAAGUCCCCUGUGGGUCAUCACUUCGGUCGCCGCAUUCCCUCCUAAGCUUUACAAAGCUUUAGCCAUCUCCUAAUACGUCGUCCCUUGUGGGUUAACGCAUUGGUGGUAGAUGAGCUCUUUACCCAACUUUACAAAGUUUCGACAAACCUGACGCGGAGUCCCAUGUGCGUCAUCGUCUCGAUCGUUGCAUUCCCUCUUAAGCUUUACAAAACUUUAACCAUCUCCCAACACGUCGUCCCCCUAUGGGUCAGCGCCCCGGAAGCAGAUGAACUCCUCCCCCCAACAAAAUCACAACCCACAACGCCUCGGUUAUCACUAAGCCUAAGCUAGCAGGUGUUCGGAACAUCUGCUGGAUGCGCCCUUUCACAUCAGGACUUCAUCGAAAUUGCAGUCCCUACUCUAAGCCCAACAUAUACAAUCGGGAAAACAAGUCCACCAAUGAUAUGAAUAUUCAUGCCUGAACUUGGGGGAACCACUGUUACGCCCCUAACUAAACCACUUUGCAACAUCAGGCACACCACUCCCCGAAGUGCCACGUCUUCAUCCGAAGUGGUUUCGAAGUGAUCCGACAACCCCCAACUUCAUGAGCUGCGAGGCGCAGGGUAGAUUCAUUGAAUCAGCCGAAGUGCCCCCUAAGUCAAAGCGUUAGGCACUCCGAGGUGCUCUUUUAACAGAUCUCUCCGCCUCUACUUUCAGAAAGAUAUCUGUGUCAGGAUCUUUUCUGCCUCCAAAGAUUAAUUAAUGUGACGUCUCCAUAGGUUUAGUUGAUGUGACGUAUCAACUUUAUGUCAAUUCGACUCAGAAGAAUUAAUUACCCCCACUCUAGACGCGGCUGAUUGAUACCUAUGAGAGGACGUCUCACACCGUCAGAUGCAUACACGUGUUCCUCAUCUAACGGUGCUCCAUGUCUAUAAAUACCCAAUGCUUGGUAAGGGGGAAAGGUAAUGAAACUCUCACAACUUAGCUCUCCAUAUUAAGAAAAAUAUAUAUUCUCGUCCACAGUCUCUUGCACAAUAUGAGCACUGUUUCGAUCACCUAACACUGACUUGACCGUUGGAAUGUAUGCGGCCGCCACCACCCCCACUGGUUUUGCCCGUGUAUUUUUGACCGCACGUUGUCGUACACAGGGAUGCUUAGGUGAAGUGACUAUUUGUUGGCCAUGUAGAGGAUUCAAUUCGUUAGGUCAACAAACCUCAUCUCUUAUAUGUGAUAAAAUUGUACCCAUGAUAUCAAAAUUAUUACACUUGUUGCAUCAUUUCUAUGGAAUAAUGCUGAGUGUACGGCAUUUUGAUAGCCCACUCACAAUCGUGGGUCACAAUUAUUUUAAUCGUGAACCUUAUAUAUUAAUGAAAUGGACAGUGACAAUCAAGAAUCUGAAUUUGGUUGAGGAGAUUGAUAAUCAAGUUAUUAGUUGUAAAAAAAAAAUUAAAAAAGUGAAAAAAUUUGAUAGUGAUUGGAUAAUAUAUCGUAACCUAAAUUGCUACUAACUUCUUGACUUUCUUAUAAAUCAAGUAAAUGGACGUGAAUAAGACAACACACGUUAAGAUUUGAUUAACGCACCACAAUAUCAUCAAAUAUCCCCUAAUUUUUCCUUAAAAGGGUUCUUAAAGAUUAAUUAAUUAAGUUUUAAAUAAAAGCACAUUUGAUUCAUUUACAUUACGGGUUUGAAAUUUCAAAUGUAAACAGUUCUGGCUAUCAUCUCGUUCGACACAUGGAGGUACAAAAGUAGAUUUUUAAAAAUUCUCACACGCUCCAUAGUAGGAAUGAUAAUCGGACUCGUCGAUUCGGAUAGUUCGUGAGUCUGCUCGAAAAAAGUUCGAGCCCGCCCGACUCGAGACUCAGAAGAACCGAGCCAAGGCUCGGGUCGAGCCUCAUUUAGGGGUGCUGGGCAAAACUUGAACCGACUCAUGUGGCUCGCUGAUUUGAGUUUACAAGCCUAUAUUUAUAUUAAAAAAAAAAACCAUACAAAAAAAAAUAAAAAUUUAAAGGUUGCGUGCUGCUGCCUAUUUUUGACAGGUGGUUGCUGCCAUGUUUAUAUUAAAAAAAAAAAAAAAAAAUCAGCAAAACACUAGCUCAGCCCGGCACUACUCGGAAAGGCCCAAGCCAAAAGCUCGAUCAUUCUACUCAAACCGAACCCGAGUUUAAAAUUUCAACUCGACUCGUUGACAUCCCUACUCCAUAGACAAUCAUAAAAACAACAUAAAUUCAAAAAGUAAACUUAAAUUGCAAUAUACAAAAAUUAAAAGUUCAAAUUCAUCAAAUCACGACAUCAAUGUAUUAAGGGAAAAUUAGGCUCAAUACGCUGGAAACGAGAAAAAUUAGAUUAAUGCAUUAAAAUGAAUUAAACCUCACAUAAACCGUAAUUAAUACGUCCUUACUAAAAUCUCCAAACCUCAAAAUAUACGAAGAGUUCUGCCGCAGUUGGAAUUCACAUUAUAAAUAAUUACAAAAAAUUUUGCAAAUUUAUAUGAUAAAUUAAUAAUUCAUCCACGGAAAACACAUCAAUAGGCAUUAAAUAGAAAAUUAAUUAAUUUAUACAUGUUAAAUUUUCUUGAACCUCGAAUCGAUUUGAAAUCAUUAGUGACUAAAAAAAUAUCAAUGGGCAUUAAAUAAUAUUCUCGUCAUGUGCUAAAAAAUUUAAGGAAUAUUAAAAAUUAUAAAGUGUUAUAUGUUUAUUCUAGUGCUGGAUAAUAAAAAUAAUGACGCCAACAGAUAAAUAUAAUUUGCAUAAUGUUUAUAUUGUUACUAAUAUCUCUUUUAAUGGAAUUUGAACACACAGUUAAACAUUCCAGGGUUAGAAGUAUUCGAGUCUGUUCAUUCACAUUUUAUGAUACUAUGAGUCUAUGAUUGUACUUUCUGCCAUUAUUAAGCGAGGUAUUAUUAUUUGUGAAUAAUAUAUUAUGAAAUAUUGAUUGAUAUUAAAAUAUGUGAUUAAAAAAAAAAGAAACUUUUUUUAUUUAUGUAUAAUAUUAUUUUAAUGAAAAUUGUAUAGAUAAAAAUAAACACUAUAAAAAAUAUAAUGUAAUAAAAUGAUAAACAAACAAAAAUCAAAGGCCAAACACCUUGUGACAUGACCAAAAUUAGCAACAUAAGCCCCUCGGAACACAUCCAAAUUGGCGAAACAAUCACAUUGGGGGCUCUGGAACCAAGCGUGAGGAAUUCGAUUCCUGAAAAGCACAACUUGAAAGUCAAGAUUUAUCUUAAGAGCAAGUUGCUGUAAGACAGUGAAGAGGCACCCUUUGAAGAAGGAGUAAAAGCCGUGUGGAAACUGAGAACCAACAAAGACACAUCCCGCGAUUUACCUCCCUAAUCUGUUGAAGAGUCGGAGGUUCAAAAACGAGGAUAUAAUCUAGCGCAAGUCGGGACAUCUCGCUAAAAAAAAAAAAAAAAAAAUAUCAACACAAGUUCGAAUUUUUAUACAUUCACUCUUCUACUCCAUAUGCAUAACGUAGUGCCAAAUCAACUAGUUACUAUUGCAGUGACAGUAAGCUUUGCUUGAUCUGUUAACUAAUUAUAUUUAGAAUACUUUUAACAAAUUCAUCUCUAUAAAAUUUAUUCAAAGUAUAUCAAAUUAUCAAUUUUCAAUAUGAAAACAAUCAAAAUGAAUUUAACUAACAUAAAAGAUUAAAAAAUAAUAAAUACUUUUAUAUUAAUAAAAUCAAAUUUUGAAUAUAAAAAACUUGUUAAAUUAUUUUAAAAAUUGAACUCUAUAAAUUUAUAAAAACCCUUCAAAUAAUAAAAUAUGCCCUUUCAAAAUAAGAAAUUAACUCAAAGAUACUCUGAAAAUAUAUUCAAAUAAAGCAAGUUUUAUUCAACAAAACAUAGACCAUCACACUUCAAAAGUCAACCAUUUCACCCGAUAACACAGUUAAAAGAUAACAUACACCGAUUCAUAAGUACGCAUACACAAUACGUAAGACUUCAAAACAGUUUCUUGGUGUUUAUCGUCUUCAACCAGAAAUCUCAAUGGCUUUGACAUCAGGCUUCUUCACCUCCCCUUUGGGAACAGUUACAGUUAGGACACCAUUCUCCAUGCUUGCCUUGACCUGAUCCAUUUUCGCAUUCUCCGGCAGCCUGAACCGGCGGAAGAAUCUGCCAGAACUCCUCUCCAUACGGUGCCAAGUAUCAUUCUUCUCCUCUUUCUCCCUGCUCCUUUCUCCACUAAUCUGCAGUACGUUACCUUCCUCAACUUCGACCUUCACCUCCUCUUUCUUCAGCCCUGGAAGGUCCGCCUUAAACACGUGGCCUUCCGGUGUUUCCUUCCAGUCAAUCCGAGUGGCAGCAAACUGAGAUGUCUCAUUGGAAAGGUCGGAACGAAUCUGUGUGGAAAGCACGGAAUUAAACGGCCAGUCUUGAAAGGGAUCGAGAGAAAAUGGAUCCCAGAUGUCGUUUCGCCGGCCAAAAACACUUGGAAUUAGCGACAUUUUCUGCCAAAAAAGUGGAAGAUUUGGAGAAU
Molecule: long non-coding RNA, 33735 nt
Filed under: Olea europaea (common olive)
Lineage: Eukaryota; Viridiplantae; Streptophyta; Magnoliopsida; Lamiales; Oleaceae
Description: long non-coding RNA (OEUR_LNC015463)
Source: RNAcentral